GACGAACGCUGGCGGCGUGCUUAACACAUGCAAGUCGAACGGAAAGGCCCUGCUUUUGUGGGGGGCUCGAGUGGCGAACGGGUGAGUAACACGUGAGUAACCUGCCCUUGAUUUUGGGAUAACUUCAGGAAACUGGGGCUAAUACCGGAUAGGAGCUCCUGCUGCAUGGUGGGGGUGGGAAAGUUUCGGCGGUUGGGGAUGGACUCGCGGCUUAUCAGCUUGUUGGUGGGGUAGUGGCUUACCAAGGCUUUGACGGGUAGCCGGCCUGAGAGGGUGACCGGCCACAUUGGGACUGAGAUACGGCCCAGACUCCUACGGGAGGCAGCAGUGGGGAAUAUUGCACAAUGGGCGGAAGCCUGAUGCAGCAACGCCGCGUGCGGGAUGACGGCCUUCGGGUUGUAAACCGCUUUCGCCUGUGACGAAGCGUGAGUGACGGUAAUGGGUAAAGAAGCACCGGCUAACUACGUG
RNAcentral lists this ribosomal RNA (468 nucleotides) under uncultured bacterium. RNAcentral describes it as "partial 16S ribosomal RNA". It matches the Rfam family "Bacterial small subunit ribosomal RNA", at positions 28 to 507 of the family's 1533-position model. The record is from RNAcentral.